Molecule: long non-coding RNA, 898 nt
Organism: Sarcophilus harrisii (Tasmanian devil)
Lineage: Eukaryota; Metazoa; Chordata; Mammalia; Dasyuromorphia; Dasyuridae
Exons: 3
Source: RefSeq, a predicted model, not a curated record
GCAAGUCGGCAGAGAGGCGACACGGGAAGGAAGGAUGAAGGAUGGGGGCAAGAACACUUGGCAAUCGAGCUGGUGGCAAGCAGGUGGUGGAUGGAGCGCUUGCAAGGGGAUGAAGGGCACCACUGCUGGCUUUGCAGCCAACUUCCUCCACAAAGGAUGACAGAGGAUCCCAGGAGGAAAAGGAAAGAAAUUUUACUGGCCUAGUAAUCUGAGAAGUAAUAAUAAUGAUGAUGAUAACAAUAACAACAGUUUGCAAAGGAGUUAAAAAUUCCCAUGGGAUACCAAAGCUCAGCCAGAAUCAAGACUCCACAGAAUGAGUCAAUCGGCAUCAAGAGUGAAUGUGCUGAAUAUGUGGCCAAAUAUUCACCGAAAUAGGAAAUGUGGUAGAGGUUAAGGAUUGUGUCAAAACAAAUAAAUAAUCAAAAGUAGGUCAAUUUUCUCAGUGUUGCCAUCUUCCCAUAUUGGUUUUCCUCCUACCUCUUUGACUAAACCUCCUUGGUCUUUUUGCCCAGCACUUUCUACUCUCCACCCUAAAAGGGACAGUUAACUGCAGCUUUGUCCUUCCUUCUGUUAUUCUCCCUUCCCCUAAAGGACUUUAUGCAUUCCUAUAGAUCCAACUACUUCCAUCUGCGAUGGUUCACAUAUUUACAGCUCUGGCUCUAACCAGCAGAUUUCUCCAUCUCAUCAUAAAAUGUGAGGAUGCAGAAGAGUUUCUAAACAUCCCUGGGUCUAGUGAAGUAGCAGGUACAGAAGGAGUCAUGGACCUUUGCCUUCCCUCCUCACCUUGACCUCCUAGAAUCCUCAUUUCCCUUCAGGGUUCAGGCCACUUUAAUACAUGAGGCCUUCCUGAUUCCCCCAAGAUUGUCCGUGUUCUCAGUGAUCCCCAGAAUUAUUCUUA